UACGUAGGGUGCGAGCGUUAAUCGGAAUUACUGGGCGUAAAGCGUGCGCAGGCGGUUAUUUAAGUCAGGUGUGAAAGCCCUGGGCUUAACCUAGGAAUUGCGCUUGAGACUGGAUAGCUUGGAGUGCGGCAGAGGGAGGUGGAAUUCCACGUGUAGCAGUGAAAUGCGUAGAGAUGUGGAGGAACACCGAUGGCGAAGGCAGCCUCCUGGGCCAGCACUGACACUCAUGCACGAAAGCGUGGGGAGCAAACAGG
This 254-nucleotide ribosomal RNA is filed under the name uncultured bacterium. RNAcentral describes it as "partial 16S ribosomal RNA". It matches the Rfam family "Bacterial small subunit ribosomal RNA", at positions 524 to 776 of the family's 1533-position model. The record is from RNAcentral.